GACUUAAUACUUUAAGAUAAAAGGUCUGAUUUGCAUUCAGAUAAUAGAUCAUAUAGAUCUUUGGGUCA
This 68-nucleotide transfer RNA is filed under the name Costapex baldwinae. RNAcentral's name for it is "tRNA-Ala". Lineage: Eukaryota; Metazoa; Mollusca; Gastropoda; Neogastropoda; Costellariidae. The record is from RNAcentral.